CUUAGGAAACCUUGUCUUGAGAAGAAAAUUGACAAAGAGCUGGACAAUCAUGGCACUGGUGGCAGGGGCUGAUUAACGGCUUCCAAUCCCUGUGGCUGAGGAGCACAUGAUGCCACCACCACCAUGGUUUACUGUAGGGAUGGUAUUGGACAGAUGACAAAAGGUUCUCCCAUCUCUGCACAGGACUCAGUGUCUUUUGAAGUGACCACCUGGUUCUUUUGUCCUAACUGACCAGGGCCAGUCAACUCUUUGAAUAUUGUGUCAAAAGAUCAAAAGAGUUCCAUGGAGAACAACUUUAUGGAUGAUCAAGCUGUGUAUGUGGGUGUGCAUGUGACAUUUGAAAAGUACAUG
This is a long non-coding RNA of Trichomycterus rosablanca, 351 nucleotides long. RefSeq lists it as uncharacterized. Lineage: Eukaryota; Metazoa; Chordata; Actinopteri; Siluriformes; Trichomycteridae. The transcript has 3 exons. The record is from RefSeq and is a predicted model, not a curated record.